UACGAAGGGGGCUAGCGUUGCUCGGAAUUACUGGGCGUAAAGGGCGCGUAGGCGGAUAGUUUAGUCAGAGGUAAAAGCCCAGGGCUCAACCUUGGAACUGCCUUUGAUACUGGCUAUCUUGAGUUCGGGAGAGGUGAGUGGAAUGCCGAGUGUAGAGGUGAAAUUCGUAGAUAUUCGGAAGAACACCAGUGGCGAAGGCGGCUCACUGGACUGGUAUUGACGCUGAGGUGACGAA
Molecule: ribosomal RNA, 235 nt
Filed under: uncultured bacterium
Lineage: Bacteria
Description: partial 16S ribosomal RNA
Rfam family: Bacterial small subunit ribosomal RNA
Source: RNAcentral